AAGCAAAGAUAAAAACGCAACGUGUGUAGCGAUACAUACAAGAGUCGGUAGGUAGCCCGACCGUCCUGCUUGUCAGGGUAAGUAACCUGCCCCUCCGGGUUGUCCAUUCUUUGCUCAUU
This 119-nucleotide non-coding RNA is filed under the name uncultured Ruminococcus sp. RNAcentral's name for it is "yjdF RNA". It matches the Rfam family "azaaromatic riboswitch aptamer (yjdF RNA)". Lineage: Bacteria; Bacillati; Bacillota; Clostridia; Eubacteriales; Oscillospiraceae. The record is from RNAcentral.